GGGGGCGAGUAGAGUGGCGCACGGGUGAGUAACACGUAGGUAAUUUGCCUUCGGGUGGGGAAUAACAGCCGGAAACGGCUGCUAAUACCGCAUAAUGCAGCGGCUCGACAUCGAGACAGUUGUUAAAGCGGGGGAUUCGCAAGAACCUCGCGCCUGAAGAGAAGCCUGCGGCAGAUUAGCUAGUUGGUAGGGUAAUGGCCUACCAAGGCAACGAUCUGUAGCCGGCCUGAGAGGGCGGUCGGCCACACUGACACUGACAUACGGGUCAGACUCCUACGGGAGGCAGCAGUCGGGAAUUUUGGGCAAUGGGCGAAAGCCUGACCCAGCAACGCCGCGUGAAGGAUGAAAUCCCUCGGGAUGUAAACUUCGCAAGAAUGGGAAGAAUAAGUAGAAGAUAAUACCUUCUAUGAUGACGGUACCAUUUGUAAGCUCCGGCUAACUCCGUGCCAGCAGCCGCGGUAAUACGGGGGGAGCAAGCGUUGUUCGGAUUUACUGGGCGUAAAGGGCGCGUAGGCGGCCACGACAAGUCAGUUGUGAAAUCUCUGGGCUUAACUCAGAACGGUCAACUGAUACUGUCGGGCUAGAGUGCAGAAGGGGCAACUGGAAUUCUCGGUGUAGCGGUGAAAUGCGUAGAUAUCGAGAGGAACACCUGCGGCGAAGGCGGGUUGCUGGGCUGACACUGACGCUGAGGCGCGAAAGCUAGGGGAGCGAACGGGAUUAGAUACCCCGGUAGUCCUAGCC
This 741-nucleotide ribosomal RNA is filed under the name uncultured bacterium. RNAcentral's name for it is "bacterial SSU rRNA". It matches the Rfam family "Bacterial small subunit ribosomal RNA", at positions 82 to 801 of the family's 1533-position model. The record is from RNAcentral.